Molecule: non-coding RNA, 76 nt
Organism: Solanum lycopersicum (tomato)
Lineage: Eukaryota; Viridiplantae; Streptophyta; Magnoliopsida; Solanales; Solanaceae
Source: Rfam
UUUUGCAGAUGAUGAUUUACUGUAAAUACUGAAUAAUCAUGUCGAUUAUAUACUCCGCUUAUUAUCUGAUGCUAUU